Molecule: long non-coding RNA, 486 nt
Filed under: Panax ginseng (ginseng)
Lineage: Eukaryota; Viridiplantae; Streptophyta; Magnoliopsida; Apiales; Araliaceae
Description: long non-coding RNA (PGIN_LNC010345)
Source: RNAcentral
UUCGAGGAAGGACACGCAGUCUGGUUGAGAGGUUUGAAAGGAGAGAAAACUUUCAGACUGAUGAACUUCAAACACCUGAUUCAACCCCUCAGAUACUUCCUGUGACAGUUAAAGCACCCAACAUAGUGACACCUGAUUUACCUCCUCGGAUAAAGCCUGAUACAGUUAAAGCACCCACCAUAGUGGCACCUGAUUUACCUCCUCGGGUAAUACCUUAUUCAGUUAAAGCACCCGCCCUAGUGGCACCUGAUUUACCUCCUCGGGUAAUACCUGAUACAGUUAAAGCACCUGCCAUAGUGGCACCCGAUUUACCUCCUCGGGUAAUGCCUGAUACAGUUAAAGUACCCACCAUUGUGGCACCUGAUUUACCUCCUCGGAUAAUACGUGAUACUGCAAAAGCAUCCACCAUUGUCGAAGGGUUCAGCAUACACCAUUCAGCCCCUCGCAAAAUUUCUGAGACACUUAAAAAAUCCCCCAGGGUAGUAG